CUAAAAGAUGCGGUAAAGAUGAUGUGGGAGCACUUCUUAUCGUCUGGAAAUACGGUCAUUUGAAUUGGCCACUCUUUAUCAGUGCGUAUGUGUGUGUGAGAGAGAGGAUGUGAAUAAAACUCAUGGUGAUUGUGUGAGUGUCUUGUGAGAAUGUACGAAUUCCUAACUGAGAAUGUAUAUAAGGUCUCAAAAACAUGGGCCCCAUUCUCUUUUUCGCCUUGUGGGAAUGAAUUUGAUAUAUUGCUCUG
RNAcentral lists this long non-coding RNA (248 nucleotides) under Eucalyptus grandis. RNAcentral describes it as "long non-coding RNA (EGRA_LNC007530)". Lineage: Eukaryota; Viridiplantae; Streptophyta; Magnoliopsida; Myrtales; Myrtaceae. The record is from RNAcentral.